This is a non-coding RNA of Streptomyces sp. WAC00263, 62 nucleotides long. The record is from Rfam. Lineage: Bacteria; Bacillati; Actinomycetota; Actinomycetes; Kitasatosporales; Streptomycetaceae.
GCCGGUCCUCGGUAGUGGCCCCCGGGGGAAUGAGAUCCCGGGUGCUUCGAUCGAAGACCGGC